This 224-nucleotide ribosomal RNA is filed under the name uncultured bacterium. RNAcentral describes it as "partial 16S ribosomal RNA". It matches the Rfam family "Bacterial small subunit ribosomal RNA", at positions 15 to 230 of the family's 1533-position model. The record is from RNAcentral.
GAUCAUGGCUCAGGAUUAACGCUAGCUACAGGCUUAACACAUGCAAGUCGAGGGGCAGCAUGGUCUUAGCUUGCUAAGGCCGAUGGCGACCGGCGCACGGGUGAGUAACACGUAUCCAACCUGCCGUCUACUCUUGGACAGCCUUCUGAAAGAAAGAUUAAUACAAGAUGGCAUCAUGAGUCCGCAUGUUCACAUGAUUAAAGGUAUUCCGGUAGACGAUGGGG